AUCAACAGCCAUAUCAUCCUGUAGCCCAAGACCGAUUACUCACUGAAGCUAAGCAGGGCUCAGCCUGGUCAGUGCCUGGAUGGGAGACCACAUGGGAAAACUAAGUGGUGUUAGAG
Ribosomal RNA from Danio rerio (zebrafish), 116 nucleotides. NCBI's taxonomy places the organism in Eukaryota, Metazoa, Chordata, Actinopteri, Cypriniformes, Danionidae. The record is from Ensembl.